This is a non-coding RNA of Pelobates cultripes (western spadefoot toad), 203 nucleotides long. The record is from the annotation of a GenBank genome assembly. Lineage: Eukaryota; Metazoa; Chordata; Amphibia; Anura; Pelobatidae.
CUGAUAUAUCUUGGCAGACUGGGGUAUGAAUCAGUAACAUUUGCAUUUCAACAAGUAGGGGUAAUAUAUCUAAACUCGUGCUGUAUAAUGAGCGGGUUAUUGUGCUCAGCGGGAUAAUGAGAUUGCUGGUGUAACCGUUCGUACUCCAAUUUACCGCUAUAACGUCUUAUAACUUAGAAUUUAGCAGGGCUAACCAUACAGAU